Molecule: ribosomal RNA, 497 nt
Filed under: uncultured bacterium
Lineage: Bacteria
Description: partial 16S ribosomal RNA
Rfam family: Bacterial small subunit ribosomal RNA
Source: RNAcentral
GAUGAACGCUAGCGGCGUGCCUAAUACAUGCAAGUCGAGCGAACAGACGAGGAGCUUGCUCCUCUGACGUUAGCGGCGGACGGGUGAGUAACACGUGGAUAACCUACCUAUAAGACUGGGAUAACUUCGGGAAACCGGAGCUAAUACCGGAUAAUAUAUUGAACCGCAUGGUUCAAUAGUGAAAGACGGUUUUGCUGUCACUUAUAGAUGGAUCCGCGCCGCAUUAGCUAGUUGGUAAGGUAACGGCUUACCAAGGCGACGAUGCGUAGCCGACCUGAGAGGAUGAUCGGCCACACUGGAACUGAGACACGGUCCAGACUCCUACGGGAGGCAGCAGUAGGGAAUCUUCCGCAAUGGGCGAAAGCCUGACGGAGCAACGCCGCGUGAGUGAUGAAGGUCUUCGGAUCGUAAAACUCUGUUAUUAGGGAAGAACAAAUGUGUAAGUAACUAUGCACGUCUUGACGGUACCUAACCAGAAAGCCACGGCUAACUACGUG